GAUGAACGCUGGCGGCGUGCCUAAUACAUGCAAGUCGAGCGAACAGACGAGGAGCUUGCUCCUCUGACGUUAGCGGCGGACGGGUGAGUAACACGUGGAUAACCUACCUAUAAGACUGGGAUAACUUCGGGAAACCGGAGCUAAUACCGGAUAAUAUAUUGAACCGCAUGGUUCAAUAGUGAAAGACGGCUUUGCUGUCACUUAUAGAUGGAUCCGCGCCGCAUUAGCUAGUUGGUAAGGUAACGGCUUACCAAGGCAACGAUGCGUAGCCGACCUGAGAGGGUGAUCGGCCACACUGGAACUGAGACACGGUCCAGACUCCUACGGGAGGCAGCAGUAGGGAAUCUUCCGCAAUGGGCGAAAGCCUGACGGAGCAACGCCGCGUGAGUGAUGAAGGUCUUCGGAUCGUAAAACUCUGUUAUUAGGGAAGAACAAAUGUGUAAGUAACUAUGCACGCCUUGACGGUACCUAAUCAGAAAGCCACGGCUAACUACGUG
This 497-nucleotide ribosomal RNA is filed under the name uncultured bacterium. RNAcentral's name for it is "partial 16S ribosomal RNA". It matches the Rfam family "Bacterial small subunit ribosomal RNA", at positions 28 to 507 of the family's 1533-position model. The record is from RNAcentral.